Molecule: ribosomal RNA, 450 nt
Filed under: uncultured bacterium
Lineage: Bacteria
Description: partial 16S ribosomal RNA
Rfam family: Bacterial small subunit ribosomal RNA
Source: RNAcentral
CCUACGGGCGGCUGCAGUGGGGAAUUUUGCGCAAUGGGCGAAAGCCUGACGCAGCAACGCCGCGUGGGUGAUGAAGGUCUUCGGAUCGUAAAACCCUGUCGUUGGGGACGAAGGUGGGGGCGUUAAUAGCGUUUCUGCUUGACGGUACCCGGAGAGGAAGCCCCGGCUAACUCUGUGCCAGCAGCCGCGGUAAUACAGAGGGGGCAAGCGUUAUUCAGAAUUAUUGUGGGCAGAGGGCUCGUUGGCGGUUGAAAGCCCCGAGCUCAACUUGGGAACUGCAUCUGAGACUGGAAGGCUAGAGUACUGGAGAGGGUGGUGGAAUUCCUCGUGUAGCGGUGAAAUGCGUAGAGAUGAGGAGGAACACCAGUGGCGAAGGCGGCCACCUGGACAGUAACUGACGCUGAGGCGCGAAAGUGUGGGUAGCAAACAGGAUUAGAUACCCUAGUAGUC